ACGAGCCCCAGCCCCAGGAGUCCCAGGUGUUCCCAUUCUGUGAUCAGCACAGAACACACAACCCUCACCAUGGAGAUUGUGCUGGGCUGGGUUUUCCUGGUUGCUCUUUUAAAAGGUGUCCAGUGUGACGUGCAGCUGGUGGAGUCUGGGGGAGACCUGGUGAAGCCUGGGGGGACCCUGAGACUCACCUGUGUAGCCUCUGGAUUCACCUUCAGUGGCUAUUGGAUGAGCUGGGUCCGCCAGGCUCCAGGGAAGGGGCUGCAGUGGGUCGCAGAAAUUAGUGGUAGUGGAGGUAGCACAAACUAUGCAGACUCCAUGAAGGGCCAAUUCACCAUCUCCAGAGACAACUCCAAGAACACGCUGUAUCUGCAGAAGAACAACCUGAAGACCGAGUACAAGACCAUGUAUUACUGUGUAAGAGACAUGCCAGGACCACAGGAUCCCACAGCUCCUCCUUAUCCUCACCCAGUCCUGGACCCAGUCAAACAACGUCACACUUCCCUCCUGGCACUUGCAACUCAGGACUUUAAGUGA
Molecule: non-coding RNA, 534 nt
Organism: Felis catus (domestic cat)
Lineage: Eukaryota; Metazoa; Chordata; Mammalia; Carnivora; Felidae
Source: the annotation of a RefSeq genome assembly